RNAcentral lists this ribosomal RNA (245 nucleotides) under uncultured Chryseobacterium sp. Its description in RNAcentral is "partial 16S ribosomal RNA". It matches the Rfam family "Bacterial small subunit ribosomal RNA", at positions 524 to 768 of the family's 1533-position model. Lineage: Bacteria; Pseudomonadati; Bacteroidota; Flavobacteriia; Flavobacteriales; Weeksellaceae. The record is from RNAcentral.
UACGGAGGGUGCAAGCGUUAUCCGGAUUUAUUGGGUUUAAAGGGUCCGUAGGCGGAUCUGUAAGUCAGUGGUGAAAUCUCACAGCUUAACUGUGAAACUGCCAUUGAUACUGCAGGUCUUGAGUAAAUUUGAAGUGGCUGGAAUAAGUAGUGUAGCGGUGAAAUGCAUAGAUAUUACUUAGAACACCAAUUGCGAAGGCAGGUCACUAAGAUUUAACUGACGCUGAUGGACGAAAGCGUGGGGAG